UCUUUAUCUAGAGAGGUGGAGGGACUGGCCCGAUGAAGCCCGGCAACCGUCAUGCAGUUUGUGACAAGGUGCCAAUUCCUGCAGGACGAAAAAUCGUUCUGGGAGAUAAGGA
This 112-nucleotide non-coding RNA is filed under the name Brevibacillus parabrevis. RNAcentral describes it as "SAM-I sequence". It matches the Rfam family "SAM riboswitch aptamer (S box leader)". From Rfam's summary of the family: The SAM riboswitch is found upstream of a number of genes which code for proteins involved in methionine or cysteine biosynthesis in Gram-positive bacteria. The SAM riboswitch acts at the level of transcription termination control. The record is from RNAcentral. Lineage: Bacteria; Bacillati; Bacillota; Bacilli; Caryophanales; Paenibacillaceae.